UCUGAACGCUGGCGGCGUGGCUAAGACAUGCAAGUCGUACGGUGUAGCAAUACACAGUGGCGGACGGGUGAGUAAAGUAUCGCUAAUGUACCCCGAUGUCUGGGAUAGCCAGUCGAAAGAUUGGGUAAUACCGGAUAAGACCACAGAACCGCAUGGUUCGGUGCUCAAAGGGUCACCGCAUUGGGCGCAGGCGAUAUCGUAUCAGCUAGUUGGUGAGGUAACGGCUCACCAAGGCGACGACGCGUAGCCGGGCUGAGAGGUCGGCCGGCCACAUUGGGACUGAGACACUGCCCAGACUCCUACGGGGGGCGUNCAGUAACGAAUCUUCCGCAAUGCACGCAAGUGUGACGGAGCGACGCCGCGUGUAGGAUGAAGUCCUCGG
Molecule: ribosomal RNA, 382 nt
Filed under: uncultured bacterium
Lineage: Bacteria
Description: bacterial SSU rRNA
Rfam family: Bacterial small subunit ribosomal RNA
Source: RNAcentral